RNAcentral lists this ribosomal RNA (468 nucleotides) under uncultured bacterium. Its description in RNAcentral is "partial 16S ribosomal RNA". It matches the Rfam family "Bacterial small subunit ribosomal RNA", at positions 28 to 507 of the family's 1533-position model. The record is from RNAcentral.
GACGAACGCUGGCGGCGUGCUUAACACAUGCAAGUCGGACGGAAAGGCCCUGCUUUUGUGGGGUGCUCGAGUGGCGAACGGGUGAGUAACACGUGAGUAACCUGCCCUUGACUUUGGGAUAACUUCAGGAAACUGGGGCUAAUACCGGAUAGGAGCUCCUGCUGCAUGGUGGGGGUUGGAAAGUUUCGGCGGUUGGGGAUGGACUCGCGGCCUAUCAGCUUGUUGGUGGGGUAGUGGCUUACCAAGGCUUUGACGGGUAGCCGGCCUGAGAGGGUGACCGGCCACAUUGGGACUGAGAUACGGCCCAGACUCCUACGGGAGGCAGCAGUGGGGAAUAUUGCACAAUGGGCGGAAGCCUGAUGCAGCAACGCCGCGUGCGGGAUGACGGCCUUCGGGUUGUAAACCGCUUUCGCCUGUGACGAAGCGUGAGUGACGGUAAUGGGUAAAGAAGCACCGGCUAACUACGUG